CUCGUCGCUUCAAGCCUCUGCCUGUCUCCUCUCCCACCAGCCAGCAGACUUCCCAAAGGGAUCCUAACGAACUGACCACCACCCGAUUAACCCCGGAACCGCAAACCCACCUCGGAGUGAAUUCCCUGUACCCAGAAACAACCUUCCAGUUCCAGCUCUUUGUUUCCAGCGUCCCCGAGUCUAAAAGAAAACUAUCUUGGUCUCUUUGUCUGAGAUGUUCUGCAGAUAAGAUUAAGAAUUUGUGAAGUGCACCAGCCCCUCCUGCAGCAAAACGUCCCCCGAACAUGAUGUUGCCACCUCAUCAUCCAGCUUCUAUCAGCAUCUUCACAAGGUCUUUAGCUUUGGUUCUGGGGUUGAUUUGCACAUUUCACAACAGAACCCGCUUAUCUGUGAUAACUGGCAUCUCCUUCCUGACUGCUAUGAUGGCUCGACAUUCUCAUGCUGUUUCCACUGGUGAUUAAUUGAUUGAACGGAUGAACAUAUAACCUUCAUGGAUCUUGACAUUACACUCAAGGAUGAAUCAGACUUGUGGAGGUCCGAAAUACUCCUCCUGAUAUAUUGUGAGAUUUUCCUUUUCAAUUAUAUCACAAGGAAGCAGAGUGUUCGAGGUGUUGCCUUAAAAUAGAUCUACGGGUGUGCCUUCAGUUAAUCAGAACCUUAAAAGGCUGGGCUCUACCUGUAUGGUUUAAAGCUAUUGGAAUGUUAUUUUAUGCAAACUUCUGAAUUUAAAAAGUCAGAAAAUACACAAAAAAUCUUUCUCUCAAUAUUCAGUUACUCAGCAAACAGAAAUAGGUUUUCAGAUGCCGACUGACUUAAAACAUGAAACAUUAAUUCUUAUAUAAUGUCAGACAGUGAGAAAAAAGGUUAUGUUUUGUUUUAGGGAGGGUAUGUAAAUAUCUGGUUUCAUCUGUUCAAGUGAAAUUUUAAAAUGUGUAAAAGUCUGUUUCAAACAGCAGGAACCAUAUUGCAGAACAUUUGAGAAAAGGUCAGAAAUAAAAGCGUUAGUCUUUGACAUAUUUUGACCUUUAUGUUGAUUUAAGAAAAUAAUUGUUGCAAAACUUUCUGUAACUUUAGUGAAGCUAAAUGCUGAAUCCCAGAGGUUACUGAGGAAUGCAUUGGGGUUACAUUCAAAACACGGAAAUUCCCUCAAAGGAAUUUUAUUAGUAACAAACAUUAUUUGUUAUUUUAAAGUAAAUUGAGUCUGAUGAAGUACAAAAUAAAGUGUGAUGUGUU
This is a long non-coding RNA of Girardinichthys multiradiatus, 1233 nucleotides long. RefSeq lists it as uncharacterized. The transcript has 3 exons. The record is from RefSeq and is a predicted model, not a curated record. Lineage: Eukaryota; Metazoa; Chordata; Actinopteri; Cyprinodontiformes; Goodeidae.